RNAcentral lists this ribosomal RNA (468 nucleotides) under uncultured bacterium. RNAcentral describes it as "partial 16S ribosomal RNA". It matches the Rfam family "Bacterial small subunit ribosomal RNA", at positions 28 to 507 of the family's 1533-position model. The record is from RNAcentral.
GACGAACGCUGGCGGCGUGCUUAACACAUGCAAGUCGAACGGAAAGGCCCUGCUUUUGUGGGGUGCUCGAGUGGCGAACGGGUGAGUAACACGUGAGUAACCUGCCCUUGACUUUGGGAUAACUUCAGGAAACUGGGGCUAAUACCGGAUAGGAGCUCCUGCUGCAUGGUGGGGGUUGGAAAGUUUCGGCGGUUGGGGAUGGACUCGCGGCUUAUCAGCUUGUUGGUGGGGUAGUGGCUUACCAAGGCUUUGACGGGUAGCUGGCCUGAGAGGGUGACCGGCCACAAUGGGACUGAGAUACGGCGCAGACUCCUACGGGAGGCAGCAGUGGGAAAUAUUACGCAAUGGGCGGAAGCCUGAUGCAGCAACGCCGCGUGCGGGAUGACGGCCUUCGGGUUGUAAACCGCUUUCGCCUGUGACGAAGCGUGAGUGACGGUAAUGGGUAAAGAAGCACCGGCUAACUACGUG